Molecule: ribosomal RNA, 120 nt
Filed under: Eutrema salsugineum
Lineage: Eukaryota; Viridiplantae; Streptophyta; Magnoliopsida; Brassicales; Brassicaceae
Source: RNAcentral
GGGUGCGAUUAUAUCAGCACUAGUGCACUGUAUCCCCAUCAGAACUCCGCAGUUAAGCGUGCUUGGGCGAGUGUAGUACUAGGAUGGGUGACCUCUUGGGUAGUCCUCGUGGUGCACCCU